RNAcentral lists this unclassified non-coding RNA (279 nucleotides) under plant metagenome. RNAcentral's name for it is "partial contains small subunit ribosomal RNA, internal transcribed spacer 1, and 5.8S ribosomal RNA". The record is from RNAcentral.
UCUCCGUUGGUGAACCAGCGGAGGGAUCAUUACCGCGCUUUUCUACUCCCAAACCCCUGUGGUCUUAAAACUUUACUGUUGCUUCGGCGGGGUAACGCCCCGAAAGGCCCAUAAAGCCGCCCGCACCAGGCGCCAGCCGGGGUACCCACACCCUUGUAUUUCUUACUUUACCUGUCUGUGUGAAAUCCUAAACUAAGUCAUCAAAACUUUCAACAACGGAUCUCAUGCUUCUGGACUCGAUGAUGAACGCAGCCGAUCUGAAGAACACAACUCUGAACA